AUGUGCAUACUCCAUAGAAAAAAACACCAAAAAAAAGAGGGGGGGAGGAGGAGGAGGAGGAGGAAUUGGAGCAGGAGGAGGAGGAUUGGAGCGCAGGGGAGUUUGGAGGUUAUUAUGGCGCUCAAUUACCCGUCGUGCUCAUUCUUGGUGAGCGACGAGUGCUCUGCCCUGAUGCGGGGGUGUGGAUGCUGGUCGGAGGAGGCCUCGCCCCUCUCGUCCCCAGGGGUCAACUCCAGGCGCUGGGAUGAUUUCGAGCCGGACCCUGCGGAUCUAUUGCCCGCGGAUCCCUUCGGGAUGAACUUGGGGAACACCAUCACUGCAGCCAUCGCCAGUUGCCUUGACCGCACGGUCAUGUCUGGUGCAGGGCGUUUUGUUGGAAGCAGUGACGGCGGCGCGGCUGUUCGUGCCGACUUGAGUUAUUACCUGGACCUGAAUCAUGCUAUUGCGCUCUCCUGGGAGCCACCUUUCCUCCCGGGUGGCUGCAGGCGUGCUUUUGAGGGGCCUUUUGGGUUUGGAGGCCUUUAUGCUGCCGGAGGCGCCAACUGCUCUCAAGGAUUGCCUCCCCUUGCGUCCUGCUCACGGCAAAUUGUACCUGGAGAGGAUCCAUCUACUUCUGGCAGUGCUGCAUUGGUGUGCCGUGAUGGAGUUGAUGCCGUGGGAGCGUCAUGCUCAUGGCCAAUUGUACCCGGAGAGGACCCAUCUCCUUCUGGCAGUGCUGCAUUGGUGUGCCGUGAUGGAGUUGAUACCGUGGGAAGUGCACCGCAUGACGGGAUGAAGUAUGCUCUUGCCUAUCUUGGGCUUCGUGACAUCCUAGCUACAGAGAUGGUGUGCAAGUCUUUGCAUUCAUGGAUCCGCACUCAUUCCUUAGUGUGGAAGUGUAUCCAUGUUGAACCGGUAUUGAGUGGGAAGAUUACUGAUCCUGAUCUUCUACGUCUGACACAGAAGAUUCCAGGUGAUUUGCAGUGUCUAAAUAUAAAUGACUGCAUAAAUAUCACCGACAAUGGUUUGAAUGCUGUUCUCCAAAGCAAUCUGAGGUUAACAAAGUUGAGUAUUGCGCGCUGCCCGCGGUUAACUUUGGAUGGUCUUAUUGCCAAUCUAAAGUCAUUUAAUAUGAAAGCAGUGUCGGGUAUUAAGUGCCUCAGAAUUGACAAAAACUUCAAUUUACCAAAAGAGGAUUAUGAGGAGUUAUUAUCCUUGUUGAGCAUCGACAAGAGACAGGAGUUGCACAACCGGGCUCCGCGAUUCCGUCAUUCUAAUCAUUUUUUAUUAGAUUGCAAUGACGGAUAUGCUCUUGAUAUUGAGAUGUGCCCCAUCUGUCAAAGUUACAAACUUGUUUUUGACUGCCCUGAAGCGGAGUGCAGUGACAAGAGAUCUGGCAAGUGCAGAGCAUGUGAGGUUUGCAUCAAGAGAUGCCGGCAGUGUGGAAGGUGCUUAGAACGAAAUGAGAAGUUUGAAGAGAAAUUUGAUCUGGUCUACCUUUGCUACAAGUGUCGAGGCGAUCCGGCUUCACCAUCUCUCGGUGUGGAAAAGGAUCUGGUCUCCAUUUUAUCCAGUGGAAGAAUACCUUCUCCUUGA
RNAcentral lists this ribosomal RNA (1575 nucleotides) under Triticum aestivum (bread wheat). RNAcentral's name for it is "partial small subunit ribosomal RNA". The record is from RNAcentral. Lineage: Eukaryota; Viridiplantae; Streptophyta; Magnoliopsida; Poales; Poaceae.